Molecule: non-coding RNA, 84 nt
Organism: Acanthosepion pharaonis
Lineage: Eukaryota; Metazoa; Mollusca; Cephalopoda; Sepiida; Sepiidae
Source: the annotation of a GenBank genome assembly
AUUGAAACACCGGCUCUCGUACGAUCACUGAAGUCAAGCAUGGUCAGUACCUUGAUGGGUGACCGCUUGGGAAUACUAGGUGCU